GACGAACGCUGGCGGCGUGCUUAACACAUGCAAGUCGAACGGAAAGGCCCUGCUUUUGUGGGGUGCUCGAGUGGCGAACGGGUGAGUAACACGUGAGUAACCUGCCCUUGACUUUGGGAUAACUUCAGGAAACUGGGGCUAAUACCGGAUAGGAGCUCCUGCUGCAUGGUGGGGGUUGGAAAGUUUCGGCGGUUGGGGAUGGACUCGCGGCUUAUCAGCUUGUUGGUGGGGUAGUGGCUUACCAAGGCUUUGACGGGUAGCCGGCCUGAGAGGGUGACCGGCCACAUUGGGACUGAGAUACGGCCCAGACUCCUACGGGAGACAGCAGUGGGGAAUAUUGCACAAUGGGCGGAAGCCUGAUGCAGCAACGCAGCGUGCGGGAUGACGGCCUUCGGGUUGUAAACCGCUUUCGCCUGUGACGAAGCGUGAGUGACGGUAAUGGGUAAAGAAGCACCGGCUAACUACGUG
RNAcentral lists this ribosomal RNA (468 nucleotides) under uncultured bacterium. RNAcentral describes it as "partial 16S ribosomal RNA". It matches the Rfam family "Bacterial small subunit ribosomal RNA", at positions 28 to 507 of the family's 1533-position model. The record is from RNAcentral.